Molecule: ribosomal RNA, 442 nt
Filed under: uncultured bacterium
Lineage: Bacteria
Description: partial 16S ribosomal RNA
Rfam family: Bacterial small subunit ribosomal RNA
Source: RNAcentral
CCUACGGGAGGCAGCAGUGGGGAAUAUUGGGCAAUGGGCGCAAGCCUGACCCAGCAACGCCGCGUGAAGGAAGAAGGCUUUCGGGUUGUAAACUUCUUUUGUCAGGGAAGAGUAGAAGACGGUACCUGAUGAAUAAGCCACGGCUAACUACGUGCCAGCAGCCGCGGUAAUACGUAGGUGGCAAGCGUUAUCCGGCUUUACUGGGUGUAAAGGGCGUAUAGGCGGGAGUGCAAGUCAGAUGUGAAAACUAUGGGCUCAACCCAUAGCGUGCAUUUGAAACUGUACUUCUUGAGUGCUGGAGAGGCAAUCGGAAGUCCGUGUGUAGAGGUGAAAGGCGGAGAUAUACGGAGGAACACCAGUGGCGAAGGCGGAUUGCUGGACAGUAACUGACGCUGAGGCGCGAAAGCGUGGGGAGCAAACAGGAUUAGAUACCCCUGUAGUC